This 650-nucleotide ribosomal RNA is filed under the name Spongiibacter marinus. RNAcentral's name for it is "bacterial SSU rRNA". It matches the Rfam family "Bacterial small subunit ribosomal RNA", at positions 97 to 743 of the family's 1533-position model. The record is from RNAcentral. Lineage: Bacteria; Pseudomonadati; Pseudomonadota; Gammaproteobacteria; Cellvibrionales; Spongiibacteraceae.
GGCGGACGGGUGAGUAACGCGUGGGAAUCUACCUAGUAGUGGAGGAUAACUCGGGGAAACUCGAGCUAAUACUGCAUACGCCCUACGGGGGAAAGCGGGGGAUCUUCGGACCUCGCGCUAUUGGAUGAGCCCGCGUUAGAUUAGCUUGUUGGUGAGGUAAUGGCUCACCAAGGCGACGAUCUAUAGCUGGUCUGAGAGGAUGAUCAGCCACAUUGGGACUGAGACACGGCCCAAACUCCUACGGGAGGCAGCAGUGGGGAAUAUUGCGCAAUGGGCGAAAGCCUGACGCAGCCAUGCCGCGUGUGUGAAGAAGGCCUUCGGGUUGUAAAGCACUUUCAAUAGGGAGGAAAGGUUGUAACUUAAUACGUUGCAACUGUGACGUUACCUAUAGAAGAAGGACCGGCUAACUCCGUGCCAGCAGCCGCGGUAAUACGGAGGGUCCGAGCGUUAAUCGGAAUUACUGGGCGUAAAGCGCGCGUAGGCGGCUUCGUCAGUCAGAUGUGAAAGCCCCGGGCUCAACCUGGGAACUGCAUUUGAUACUGCGGAGCUAGAGUAUGGUAGAGGAUAGUGGAAUUCCAGGUGUAGCGGUGAAAUGCGUAGAUAUCUGGAGGAACAUCAGUGGCGAAGGCGACUGUCUGGACCAAUACUGA